Non-coding RNA from Acanthosepion pharaonis, 112 nucleotides. NCBI's taxonomy places the organism in Eukaryota, Metazoa, Mollusca, Cephalopoda, Sepiida, Sepiidae. The record is from the annotation of a GenBank genome assembly.
UUACGGCCUUAUCAUGUUGAAACACCAGGUUCCUUUCUACAAUCCCCAAAGUUAAGCAACGUCGAGCCUGAUCAGUACCUAGAUGGGUGACUGCUUGGGAAUACCAGAUGCU